Molecule: transfer RNA, 65 nt
Filed under: Potomida littoralis
Lineage: Eukaryota; Metazoa; Mollusca; Bivalvia; Unionida; Unionidae
Description: tRNA-Asp
Source: RNAcentral
AGGAAGUUAGUUUACCAUAAAAUGUGGGGUUGUCAACUCCAAGAGGCUUGACUUUGCACUUCCUU